RNAcentral lists this ribosomal RNA (459 nucleotides) under uncultured Rhodocyclaceae bacterium. Its description in RNAcentral is "bacterial SSU rRNA". It matches the Rfam family "Bacterial small subunit ribosomal RNA", at positions 925 to 1382 of the family's 1533-position model. Lineage: Bacteria; Pseudomonadati; Pseudomonadota; Betaproteobacteria; Rhodocyclales; Rhodocyclaceae. The record is from RNAcentral.
ACAAGCGGUGGAUGAUGUGGAUUAAUUCGAUGCAACGCGAAAAACCUUUACCUACCCUUGACAUGUCCGGAAUCCCGAAGAGAUUUGGGAGUGCUCGCAAGAGAGCCGGAACACAGGUGCUGCAUGGCUGUCGUCAGCUCGUGUCGUGAGAUGUUGGGUUAAGUCCCGCAACGAGCGCAACCCUUGUCAUUAGUUGCCAUCAUUUGGUUGGGCACUCUAAUGAGACUGCCGGUGACAAACCGGAGGAAGGUGGGGAUGACGUCAAGUCCUCAUGGCCCUUAUGGGUAGGGCUUCACACGUCAUACAAUGGUCGGUACAGAGGGUUGCCAAGCCGCGAGGCGGAGCCAAUCCCACAAAGCCGAUCGUAGUCCGGAUUGUUCUCUGCAACUCGAGAGCAUGAAGUCGGAAUCGCUAGUAAUCGCAGGUCAGCAUACUGCGGUGAAUACGUUCCCGGGUCUU